This 742-nucleotide non-coding RNA is filed under the name Acyrthosiphon pisum (pea aphid). RNAcentral describes it as "Eukaryotic small subunit ribosomal RNA". It matches the Rfam family "Eukaryotic small subunit ribosomal RNA", at positions 800 to 1508 of the family's 1831-position model. Lineage: Eukaryota; Metazoa; Arthropoda; Insecta; Hemiptera; Aphididae. The record is from Rfam by way of RNAcentral.
UACUGGUCGCAAGGAAUAAUGGAACAAGACCUCGGUCCCGCGCAUCUCCGCCCUUCGCGGGCGCGCGAAAUCGCCCUCCGGGGCGUUUCCGUGCGCGGGCCGCCGGGCCGCGGGCGCCAGUCGCCCGCGCGUCCCGCCGGGCCGGUUUUCGGGACCGGAGGUAAUGAUCAACAGAGACGGGCGGGGGCAUUCGUACCGAGACGUUAGAGGUGAAAUUCUUGGAUCGUCUCGAGACGAACUGACGCGAAAGCAUUUGCCAAGUACGUUCUCGUAUGAUCAAGAACGAAAGUUAGAGGUUCGAAGGCGAUCAGAUACCGCCCUAGUUCUAACUGUAAACGAUGCCAGCUAGCGAUCCGCCGGCGUUUCAUUAACGACCCGGCGGGCAGCUUCCGGGAAACCGAAGCUUUUCGGUUCCGGGGGAAGUAUGAUUGCAAAGUUGAAACUUAAAGGAAUUGACGGAAGGGCACCACCAGGAGUGGAGCCUGCGGCUUAAUUUGACUCAACACCACGAGGCUGCGUUGAAUAAUUUUGCACUUGGAACGCAGUUUAUAAAUUGUUGGAUUGAGCUCCUCUACUUAAUAAUUCCUAAUUCGAGCACUGCUUGAAACAUACGUAUUUCAACAAGUUAAGAAUGAAGGUGAAAAAAAUAAUUGGCGGGAAUCAUUAUUUUGGAAGUAUUAUAUCCUUGAAUCCUUCCACAGUUUGCGAUUUUCCGUUUAUAUGCAUGUGCACAACACUGUAC